CAAGACUAAACUGUGCUUGCUAUACUAAAAUUGGAAUGAUACAGAGAAGAUUACCAUGGUCCCU
Molecule: small nuclear RNA, 64 nt
Filed under: Microcebus murinus (gray mouse lemur)
Lineage: Eukaryota; Metazoa; Chordata; Mammalia; Primates; Cheirogaleidae
Source: RNAcentral